AAACAUAGGAGGAAUUAAUUUAUGUGGUAUAAUUGUAUGUACAUACACACACUCCACUUAAACGUUCACUGUGAAAAAAUAGUUUAAAACUAUUCAUUAGGGGAUUGUAAGGUCUUGUACCCAAUUUUUAUGGCACAGGCAAGUUUGGCCUGGAAACUGCUACAGAGGGCUAGAAAAAUUUAAUUCCACACACAAUGGUUAAAAACAUAUGAAACUGUACUACAACAACAAAUAUUUUUACAGCAGCCAUGUAUUUUAAUAAGGGCAAGACACGAGACAUUUCGGUGCAUUUUAAUAACUAUCCAAAAUUUGGUACUUUUGUUACAUGUGUUCUAAAAGACUUUAGAAGUCUUUAGCAGUAGUUGGUCAGGAAAUUUCAUGCCCAGUCUUAUUGCAUCACUAGAUGAUGAUGCAAUAUUGAGUGAAAAAAAUGUUUAAAUACACAAAAGGAAAAUGAUAGAAUAAUUAUUGCAAUUAAUUGACCAGCAAAUAAAUGCUCGAAGGAACCAAAUAAGAGGAAAAAAAGAAAAUGUUUCAUAUAAAAUAAAGGGUAAGAUUUUCAGACGUGCCAAAGUGAUGUAUGAGCCAAAUUCUCAUUAAUUUAAACAAAAAAACCCCUAAACACAACAAAAACCAAACCAGUGAUGUGAAAGAGAGUGCUGAGAUACUUUAUUUAGAUUAAAAUUUAGAUUACAUUACAGAAAUAGGAAGAGGAGGUUACUCACCCUGUGCAGUAACUGAUGUACUUCAAAAUGAGUGUCCCUGUGGGUGCUCCACUUCAGGUGUUGGUAUGUCCCUGCGCCUUCGCUCGGAGAUUUUUGCAGCAGUACUCGUACUGGCCAUGCAUGCACAGAACCUGCCUCCCUACUCUUGAGUAUAUCGUAAUAGUACGCAUGUGUGGCUGGUCUCCUCAUUUCCUUCUCUGCAACAGAGGCUACCCCAACUCCAAAGAAGAGGGGAGGAGGGUGGAUAGUGGAGCACCCACAGGGACAUUCAUCUCGAAGAAUGUCAGUUACAGCACAGGGUGAGUAACUUCCUCUUCUUCUUCUUCGACAGAUGUCCCUGUGGGUGGCUCCACUGCAGGUGACUUAAAAGCAGUGUAUCUCAAGGAGGUAGGGUAGCUACACAUCUAGUGGAAUGAGUUCUGAUGGAGGCUGGAGGUGUAACUUGUUUUAUCUGAUAGCACAGUUAGUUAGAUGCAGUCAGAGAUCCAGUUUGAAAGUCUCUGGGUAGAAAUAGGUAUCCCUUUGGAACGCUCUGUGAUGGAGACAACAAGUCUAGAAGAGCUUCUAAGAGGUUUGGUUCUAUCCAAAUAUAAGGACAAGGCCCUGCGUACAUCUAACGUAUGUAUUGUGGCUUCAAAAGAGUUUGCAUGUGGUUUUGGAAAGAAAGUCGGUAGGUGUACUGGCUCAUUAAUGUGGAAUGAGUGAACCUUUGGAAGAAAUUUGGGAUGUAAUCUAAAGGUAACCUUGUCCUUGAAAAAUAGUGUAUAUGGUGGAUCUGCCAUAAGGGCUGCUAUUUCUUCUGCCCUUCUGGUGGAGGUAAUUGCCACUAAAAAUGCUGUUUUCAUAAAGAGGUGUAAAAGGGAGCAGGUGGCUAGUGGCUCAAAUGGUUGUUGAGUUAGGCAGGAUAAUACUAAAUGAAGGUCCCACAGAGGGGUAGGCGGUUUAAUGUUUGGGUAUAGGGUUUGGAGUCCCUUGAGGAAACGCUUGGUGAUCGGAUGAGCAAAGACAGAGGUAUUGUCGAUUCUGUCAUGAAAGGUUGUAACAACAGCUAAGUGGACUCUGAUGGAGCUGAAAGAAAGGCCAGAUUGCUUAAUGUCCAAUAGAUAGUCAAGUAUGAGCAGGAGGGGUACGGACAUGGGAGAAAGUUGUUUAGCUGAACACCAUUGUCUGAAUCACUUCCACUUUCGGAGAUAGGUGGUGCGAGUAUAUUGUGUUCUGCUGUGUAGGAGCACUCUUUGAACUUGGUGAGAGCAAGCUAGCUCGUUUUCAGAGAACCAUGUGGGUACCAGGCUUUGUGGUGAAGCAUGGACAGAUUAGGGUGAAGAAAUCGGCCGUGUUGUUGUAAUAAGAGGUUCGGAAUGAGGGGCAAUGAGAUUGGUGGUCAAAUUGACAUUCUGGUAAGGAACGGAAACCACGGUUGUCUGAGCCACGACGGGCAAUCAAGAUCACCGUGGCACGAUCUGUUCAUAUCUCUGUGAGAACUCUGUGGAGAAUCGGUAUGGGGGGAAAAGUGUAGAGUAAGUUCCAUUGCCAUGGGAUCAUAAAUGCAUCUCCCAGGUAAUGUUUGCCGAGUCCUGCUCUGGAGCAAAAUUUGGGACAUUUCGUGUUUUUCGCAGUUGCAAAAAGGUUUAUGACCCCAAAUGUGAAAUGUGUUACAGAUGAUUGACUUGUUUAUCUCCCACUCAUGAUCCCAGGGAAAGCGUCUGCUUAAUUCGUCCGCUGUGGUAUUCAGAACUCCGGGAAGAUAGGCAACCGAUAUGCGGAUGUUGUUCACAAGGCACCAAUUCCAGAGCUUCAUAGCUGCUGUGCAGAGCGAGUGAGAGUGAGCUCCUCUCUGCCUGUUUACAUAGAACAUGCAAGCAAUGUUGUCUGUUAUGCGUACAUAUUGAUUCCUGAUUAGUGGGAGGAAGUGAUGGCAGGCAUUGCGUAUGGCUCGAAGUUCUAGGACAUUUAUGUGCUGGGAGGUUUCAGUGGAAGACCAUAGCCCCUGGACUGUGUGGUGAGACGUGGGCACCCCACCCUGUGAGGGAUGCAUCGGUAGUCAUCAUCGGGGAUGGAGUGUUCUGGAGAAAGGGGACACCAGAGCAGAGGUUGGAAGGAACUGUCCACCAUAGUAUAAAGUCUGACUCGGAAGGGUAUGGAGAGAGGCUUGUUUAGAGAGUGCACGUUAGGUUUGUAAACCGUGGCCAAGCAAGCUUGGAAGCACCUCAUGUACAGGCAUGCGUUUUAGACCACGAAAGUGCACAAGGCCAUGUGGCCCAGUAGUUGUAGGCAGCCUCGGACAGUGACCUGGGGACUGUUGCGAAGUUUUAUAUGGCCAGAAGCUUUAUGGUGUUGAACUGGUCGGGUGGGAGAGAUGCCAACCCUGUUCGGGAGUCGAGGUCCGCUCCUAUAAACUCCAGGUGCUGGGUAGGGCAUAAUGUGGAUUUGUUUUUGUUUGUUUGUAGUCCAAGAGAUAGGAAACAAUCAACCGUGAGAUGCGUGAAUCGGAGAGGUCUGAUGAAUGUCAAGGCUUUGAGGAGGCAAUCGUCGAGGUAAUUUCUGAAUCCUGGAACCAUGGAGGAGCGAUGCUUUGAUAUGGAGCAGCUAUGGAUUGGGAUUGAAAAUGCGAUCCACACCCUGAGAAAGGAGUUGCAGAGUCAGGCAAAGAGACAUUGGAGGGCAUACUUCCGUAAAGGAGGCCCAGAGAGUGGUACGUGGCUUGAAAACUGCGACAUCCCUUUGGACUUGAGACCUGGAGCUGCCCUUGACAAGCCAAUCAUCGAGGUACAGGUAGAUCUGGAUACCCCAAUGCCCAAGGUAAGCUGCUACCACCAACAUGCACCUGGUAAACACUCUUGGUGCUGUCGCCAGGCUGAAUGAGAGGACCACAAACUGGCAGUGGUGGGGCCCCACCAUAAACCUGGAAGAAGCGUCUGUGUCCUUGAAAGAUUGAUAUGUGGUAGUAUGUGUUCUUCAAGUCAAGGGCUGCAUAGCAGUCUCCCAGAUUCAGAAAAGGGACAAUAGAAGCCAAUGAAACCAGGCAGAAUUUUAGCUUCUUUAGGUACUUGUUGAGGUCUCGCAGGUCCAGGAUGGGCCAUAGACCUCUCUCAGCCUUUGGGAUUAAAAAGUGACUGGAACAGAACCCCUUGUUCCUGUAUUUGAGAGGAACUUCUUCCAUUGCAACUCCUUUACCUACUGAGCAAGGAGACUCUUGUGAGAAGGGUCCCUGAAGAGGGACAGGAAAGGCAGAUGGGAAGGAGGGGUAUAAAAGAACUAGAGGAUAUAACCCUGCUCCACUGUGAUGAGGACCCAUCAGUCUGAGGUUAUAGCAGUCCAAGUAGGGAUGAAAAGGGAAAGGCGGUUGGAGAACACUAGGACAGAUGGAUUCGGGGAAUAGUCUAGUAGGUUGCCCUCGGGCACACCCUCAAAAUGACCGUUUGGCCCCUUGCUUGAUAGGGGUCGAGCCUGACUAGGCAGAGGGUGAAAGCGGGUGGCUCAGAUGGUGCUUGUAGCCCUUGGCUCAUUUGUGGAGCUGGUUCUGCUGAGGCUGGCUCCCUGGCCCUGAGGCUUGAACCGCUUACACGCUGGGGCUGGGAUGUAAAGACCCAGGGUUUUCAGGGUAGUGUGGGAGCCCUUGAGGCCAUACAAUUUGCUGUCUGUUUGCUCCACAAAUAGGGCUCAGCUGUUGAAGGGCAAGUCCUGCAUUGACUGCUGAGCCUCAGAGGACAACCCAGAGAGGAGUAGCCAGGAGGCUCGUCUGUUGCGGCCUGGACGGCCACCCUGGCUGUAGUCAUGCCCUCAUCAAGGAUCACUCAGAAUUCCUUCUUGGAAGCCUCAGGAAGCAACCCUUCAACCUCAGCCAUAGCUUGCCACAUAUUAGUCAUAUUGGCCAAGGAGGGCUCGGUGAUUGGCCACUCUCAGCUGAAGGCUAGAAGACUAAUAAAUCUUACAUCCAAAAAGAUCCAGCGUCCUUAAAUCUUCAUUUUUUUGGGGUGGCCUGGGUUGUCCUCAACUCUCUUUGUGGUUAACCACCUCUACCAUAAGGAAACUGGGGACAAAUGGUGAGUAUAAGUACUUAUGCCUCUUGGUUGGCACAGAGUAUGUGUGUUCAGCCCUCUUAGAGAUAGAGACCAGGGAAGAGGGGGUCUGCUAUAGGGCAUUAGUGAUUUUGGAAACACCUUCAUGAGAGGGUAGGGCUAUUCUGGCAGGAGCUGAGGAGCAGAGGACGUCAAACAAAAUCUGAGGUUUCUUCCAGUUCCUCUGCCUGAAGCCCCAGGUUGGAGGUGACCCUCUUCAAAAGUUCUGGUGCGCUUUGGCAUCAUCCUGAGGAACUGGGUGAGGGGGCCCCAUGAUAGCUGGUCUGGCAAUGACGAGGACGAUUCCAGUGCUGUGGCAACCUCCACUUCCAUUGGUAGAACAGCAGCUUGCUCCCCUGGGUCUUCCUGGACCUGUGGGGUCUUACCCACCAAAGCCAUGAGCACCGGAGGGGGACGGGAUACCAAAGCCGCUGGCCUCUCUGAGGAUCCCAACACCAACCGGGCAGCCUGAGGAGGUUAGGUGAACCCCCAAGGAUUCCACGGGUACCAUGACGCCAUCCACUGCACUUGGGGCCAUGGGACAGGUUUCAGUGAUGAUGACGACGAUGUAGACAGCACCACAGGUACCAGGGCUCGCCCCGCAGUCAGGGAACCUCGCUCCAUGCCAGAGGUAUAAAUGGAGUGGUCAGUACUGGGUGACCAAGAUCGGGUGGAGAGGUGGCUCUUGUCCGACCGAUGCCAGUCACUGCAUCCCGAAGCCAACCUGUCCAAGCGAGACAGACGUCUUGGUCAGGAUCUUGGGGACCGAUGGCAUUCAGCAGAUCUGCAUCUGACACCUGGUGAUCCACAACUCGCACUACUCGAACGGUACUGGGAUGCUGAACGGGACCGGGAGUAAAUACAGGUCAGUUGCCAGGAGGAUCUUCCUGAGUAAGGUGAACUACUGCUUGGAAAUGGGCGAUGACAGUCUGUCGAUCUAUGAUCUCUGAUCCUCGAUCGGUCCUGGGCCCUUGGAGAUGGUUGAGACUGGUCCAGGAGUUCUUGCCGUGUGGUGCAUGCCUCAGAAGGUCUGCAUCAAUCUACCGGCAAGGUACGUCUCGAGUCCCUCGAUCGAUGGCCCCUGUGUGGAAUGGUGCAGCUGCGGCGGGGACACACAUGUAGGUCCCAAUGUGGGUAUUCCCCAAGACCGGGGUAAUGCUGGAGCCAAUGUGGGCAGCACCAGCAGCAUCAGGAUCUCCUGAGCUGCUUGUGGGGCUUCGAGCAUCGACAGCACCAGAAGCUGGCUGGGGCCUGCACCGCUAUCCGGAGCCGCAGGCAAAGUAUGGGAUGGGCUGCACCACUUUACUUGAGUUGGUGCCAGACUUCCUGAAGGGGGUGUUGAGCUGCCCAAUAUAGGUCCUGGCUUGCCCCCAGCCCUCUUCUUUCCCUUAUGGGAGGUAAGAGAUCUUCCCUGCACAGUCUUUUUUGUCUUUUUGAUCAGAGCUGUAGAGGACGAUCGAUGCUGGCUCGUGGAUGGCACUGGCGGAGCACAGUGCACAGAGGCUGUGGUGCUCGGUGAGAAGUUGGACCGUUGCCGAAGUGAACCUCAACUCCCUUAGGAGCGCUUUCAGAUGGAUAUCGCGCUCUUUCUUUGUCCUAGGUUUAAAGGGCUUGCAAAUACUGCACUUGUCACUUAUGUGCCCUUCGCCUAAGCACCUUAGGCAGCCGGUAUGUGGCUCUCUGAUGGACAGUUACUGGGCCCGUUUGCAGCAAUCACUGGGGGUUUUCAACGUUUGCAAGAACAGAGAACAAAACAAUGCUAGCUGAAGCAGCAAACAUUCCAGCACCAUCACUGGCGGCAAAAAGGAACCAGGGGAGGGGGGAGACGGUGGCGCCCCUUAUACCGCGCCAUGUGGGUGCCACUCAGAGGGCACCAGAGCUGAUCCACUACAGAUACUGAUGAGGGAAAAGCUUCCGGCACUGGUGCAUGUGGCAAACACACACCUAAUAUGGAAUGGAAACGCGCAAGCACUCGAAGAAGAAUAUCUGCUUCUGGAAGACUUGAUUUAUAAGGCUAAAGCCCCCAGGCAGUACAGUAUUUGCUGUUGGUUUUUGGGGUCUCCCCUGCUGCCUCAUUGAUUACUUCCGGUUCCAACAUGUCCGGUUGACGUAACUCUGGUGUUCGUAUCUUUGAGGUUCUACUGUACUAUACAUUGCAUCAUGUUUUGGGAUUGGGUUGAUUGCAUUGCAAGAACCAAUCCCUGUGCAGCAUGCUCUGUACAUGCUCAACCUACUCUACUGCCUCAUCUCUACAUUCUUUACUAAUCUUGUCCAUACUUAUUUUAUUCAAAGUAAAUGGUUCCUUGGGUGUUCUACCUCUUAUCUCAGCUGGUGCAGACAUUCUGUCUUUUUAGUCUACUGAGCUAUUUACUUAUCUUAUUUAGCACAAACGCUAUUUUCAGCCUAAUGAUCUGUUUAUCUCCCUAAUUCUAUCCUCCAAAAAAUGAGGCCUCCCUCCAUGUGUUAAUUGCUCAUGUCACUUCAGGCCUCAGCUACACCAAGGAAUGGCAGCCCAGUCCCCCACUUGAGCACAAGUACAGGCACUUCCUGUUUCUCGUCAUGGAGAACAGGUCUAUUUGUGGGACACCCCAAUAAUGAAAUAUGCAAUGGAGUACAAUAGGAUCUAUCACCCAUUCAUGAUCCUGAGAGAAGCAUAUGCUGAGGGUAUUUGCAGCGAUGUUUCAGACACCCAGAAAGUAAGCUCCUGAGAGGCUGAUCUAAGUUCCCUCUAAGCUAUACAGCUGUAUGGCCGGGCCGCGCACUUCAGGUGUCCCUCUGCCCACUGCCAUGCUGCUCCUGCCUUCGAGCUGCUCGUGGGAGCCUCCUGCUUGCUAUGCAGAGCAGGGAGGAAGGGGGGUGCUGAUGUCAGGCUGUCCCCUUCCCUCGGUGUUCAACAGCAUAAGCAUUCCACAAUUAUGGUUUGCUUUGUGUCCCAGAGCAGAUAAGCACAGCAUGAAAGGGCCGGCAGUCAGAAACUGAGCAUUGAAAAGGGAGGGGUGCAUGCCUUCAGGGCAGCCAUAUGAGUUCAAAACAACAAGCAGAGCUGCCAUUUGAGGGACUAUGGGACACUUCUGGGGACCAACUGAUUGCUUUCUGAGAUGUAAUGUGUUUACACUGCCAAUACAGCGCUGGAUUCUCUGCGCUAUAAGGUUUAUGACUCUCAUUGAGGUGGUUUUUUUUGCGAUGCUGCAACUGAGGAGUUUCUGUGCACAAGUGACUUGGCAGAGUGUACACUUCGGGAAUUACACCACAGAAAUCUGCUUUACUGUGCAGAAACUUGCCAGUGUAGACAAGGCCUUAGAAACUCUAGGAGAAUGUUGUGCUGAAGUGGCUGAGGCACUCAAUUUGCUCGGUGACUGGUGUACAGGGAGGGUCCCCUGGCAUGGGAAAGAGGCGAGACAUUGGGAGCGCUCCAUCAUCAUGAGGUACAAUUUAAUCUUCAGUUUCUUUAUGGCUCUCAAUUUUACUGCCAGGCAAAAUUAUACUUUUGGGGAAUGUCUGACUCCAAGGAGCACCUGUCACUCACCAAGAUAGCUUCCUAGCACGA
Long non-coding RNA from Gopherus evgoodei (Goodes thornscrub tortoise), 8330 nucleotides. RefSeq lists it as uncharacterized. The transcript has 4 exons. The record is from RefSeq and is a predicted model, not a curated record. NCBI's taxonomy places the organism in Eukaryota, Metazoa, Chordata, Testudines, Testudinidae.